AACGAACGUUGGCGGCGUGGAUUAGGCAUGCAAGUCGAACGCGAAUCCCUGGGCAACUGGGGCGGAGAGUGGCGAAAGGGGCAGUAAGGCGUGGGUAACCUACCCUCCGGGCCGGGAUAGCUUCGGGAAACUGAAGGUAAUACCGGGCGACGCAGCGAGAUCGCAUGGUCUUGCUGCCAAAGGUCCGCCGCCGGGGGAGGGGCUCACGUGGUAUUAGCUAGACGGCGGGGUAACGGCCCACCGUGGCAAAGAUGCCUAGCAGGUGUGAGAGCACGACCUGCGCCACUGGCACUGAGACACUGGCCAGACACCUACGGGUGGCUGCAGUCGAGGAUCUUCGGCAAUGGGCGCAAGCCUGACCGAGCGACGCCGCGUGUGCGAUGAAGGCCUUCGGGCUGUAAAGCACUGUCGAGGGGGAGGAAGCCGCAAGGUUGACCUAUCCCUGGAGGAAGCACGGGCUAAGUUCGUG
RNAcentral lists this ribosomal RNA (469 nucleotides) under uncultured bacterium. RNAcentral's name for it is "partial 16S ribosomal RNA". It matches the Rfam family "Bacterial small subunit ribosomal RNA", at positions 28 to 507 of the family's 1533-position model. The record is from RNAcentral.